RNAcentral lists this ribosomal RNA (328 nucleotides) under uncultured eukaryote. RNAcentral describes it as "partial 18S ribosomal RNA". It matches the Rfam family "Eukaryotic small subunit ribosomal RNA", at positions 1470 to 1796 of the family's 1831-position model. The record is from RNAcentral.
CCCUUAGAUGUUCUGGGCUGCACACGCGCUACACUGAAGGGAUCAGCGUGUUCUUUUCCUGGUCCGAAAGGAUCGGGUAACCCGCUGAACCCCCUUCGUGGUAGGGAUCGGAGCUUGCAAUUAUUCUCCGUGAACCGGGAAUUCCCAGUAAGCGCAAGUCAUAAGCUUGCGUUGAUUACGUCCCUGCCCUUUGUACACACCGCCCGUCGCUACUACCGAUUGGACGUUUUAGUGAGGAUUUUGGACUGAGCCAAUGGUGGUUCACACCACUGUUGUGCAUGGAAAGAUCUCCAAACUUGAGCGUUUAGAGGAAGUAAAAGUCGUAACA